UCAGGACGAACGCUGGCGGCGUGCUUAACACAUGCAAGUCGAACGCUGAAGCUUGGGUGCUUGCAUCUGGGUGGAUGAGUGGCGAACGGGUGAGUAAUACGUGAGUAACCUGCCCUUGACUCUGGGAUAAGCCUGGGAAACUGGGUCUAAUACUGGAUACUACAUUCUCUCGCAUGGGGGGGUGUGGAAAGGGUUUUACUGGUUUUGGAUGGGCUCACGGCCUAUCAGCUUGUUGGUGGGGUAAUGGCCUACCAAGGCGACGACGGGUAGCCGGCCUGAGAGGGUGACCGGCCACACUGGGACUGAGACACGGCCCAGACUCCUACGGGAGGCAGCAGUGGGGAAUAUUGCACAAUGGGCGAAAGCCUGAUGCAGCGACGCCGCGUGAGGGAUGACGGCCUUCGGGUUGUAAACCUCUUUCAGCACGGAAGAAGCGAAAGUGACGGUACGUGCAGAAGAAGCGCCGGCUAACUACGUGCCAGCAGCCGCGGUAAUACGUAGGGCGCAAGCGUUGUCCGGAAUUAUUGGGCGUAAAGAGCUCGUAGGCGGUUUGUCGCGUCUGCUGUGAAAGCCCGGGGCUUAACCCCGUGGUGUGCAGUGGGUACGGGCAGACUAGAGUGCAGUAGGGGAGACUGGAAUUCCUGGUGUAGCGGUGAAAUGCGCAGAUAUCAGGAGGAACACCGAUGGCGAAGGCAGGUCUCUGGGCUGUUACUGACGCUGAGGAGCGAAAGCAUGGGGAGCGAACAGGAUUAGAUACCCUGGUAGUCCAUGCCGUAAACGUUGGGCACUAGGUGUGGGGGACAUUCCACGUUUUCCGCGCCGUAGCUAACGCAUUAAGUGCCCCGCCUGAGACCCCACUGG
RNAcentral lists this ribosomal RNA (861 nucleotides) under Kocuria sp. M_Sw_oHS_10/11_11_2(1). Its description in RNAcentral is "bacterial SSU rRNA". It matches the Rfam family "Bacterial small subunit ribosomal RNA", at positions 24 to 873 of the family's 1533-position model. The record is from RNAcentral. Lineage: Bacteria; Bacillati; Actinomycetota; Actinomycetes; Micrococcales; Micrococcaceae.